This is an RNA transcript of Medicago truncatula (barrel medic), 694 nucleotides long. RefSeq lists it as uncharacterized. The transcript has 2 exons. The record is from RefSeq and is a predicted model, not a curated record. NCBI's taxonomy places the organism in Eukaryota, Viridiplantae, Streptophyta, Magnoliopsida, Fabales, Fabaceae.
UUUUCAGUAUCUCUGAUUAGCAAGCUUAUUUUUCAAUGAUUACUGACCACAAGAUUUACCACUUAUCAAUUGUUUAUGGCAGCACAUCUCAUGUUGGUAGAAGAAAAAUGAGGAUGGAGCUAAAUUCCCUUCAACAAAGGAAGAAAUUUUGAAGCGGUGAAUAUUGUCCAAAAAGCAUCGAAUAUCAUUGAAGAUUACAAAGGACUUGUGAAUACUCAUGUUGAUGUGGAGCCAACUAUCUCUAUAUCUUCUCCCUCAAGUUGGAGUCCUCCUCCCACGUCUACUUUCAGAUUGAACAUUGAUGCAUCGGAACUUGUUCAUAAUAAAUGGGGAGUGGUAGCUAUAGUUAGAGACUCGAAAGAUAUUGUUUUAGUAGCUGUUGCAUGGAACUUUGUUGCGCUUCCUGAUGCUAACAUCGCUGAAGCUCUUGAAUUUUGGUUGUCAAUUUAAUUUGUCUAUUAUAUGGGGUUUUUGAAACAUUGUGGUGGAAGGUGAUUCUCUUAAUGUGGUAAAGGCUUUAAAGUCUCAUAGUGAUGAUAAUUCAUACUUUGACUUGAUGAUUAAUGACCGUAAGAGUCUUAGUUGUUAAUUUUCUUCAUUUUUAGUUUCUCAUGCGCGAAGAGUUGGUAAGUUGUUGCUCAUGAUCUAGCUAAGUUUGCUUUAGUUCUGAUUGAUUCUAUUUGGAUUGAGGAAA